UGAGGAAUAUUGCUCAAUGGAGGAAACUCUGAUGCAGCAACGCCGCGUGUGGGAUGAAGGAGCUAUGCUUCGUAAACUACUGUCAGAUGGGAGUAAAAGCCUGCUUUGUGGGCUGGGAACGUACCAUCAGAGGAAGGGUCGGCUAACUACGUGC
RNAcentral lists this ribosomal RNA (154 nucleotides) under uncultured bacterium. Its description in RNAcentral is "partial 16S ribosomal RNA". It matches the Rfam family "Bacterial small subunit ribosomal RNA", at positions 355 to 508 of the family's 1533-position model. The record is from RNAcentral.